RNAcentral lists this ribosomal RNA (497 nucleotides) under uncultured bacterium. RNAcentral's name for it is "partial 16S ribosomal RNA". It matches the Rfam family "Bacterial small subunit ribosomal RNA", at positions 28 to 507 of the family's 1533-position model. The record is from RNAcentral.
GAUGAACGCUGGCGGCGUGCCUAAUACAUGCAAGUCGAGCGAACGGACGAGAAGCUUGCUUCUCUGAUGUUAGCGGCGGACGGGUGAGUAACACGUGGUUAACCUACCUAUAAGACUGGGAUAACUUCGGGAAACCGGAGCUAAUACCGGAUAAUAUUUUGAACCUCAUGGUUCAAAAGUGAAAGACGGUCUUGCUGUCACUUAUAGAUGGAUCCGCGCUGCAUUAGCUAGUUGGUAAGGUAACGGCUUACCAAGGCAACGAUGCAUAGCCGACCUGAGAGGGUGAUCGCACACACUGGAACUGAGACACGGUCCAGACUCCUACGGGGGGAAGCAGUAGGGAAUCUUACGCGAUGGGCGAAAGCCUGACGGAGCAACGCCGCGUGAGUGAUGAAGGUCUUCGGAUCGUAAAACUAUGUUAUUAGGGAAGAACAUAUGUGUAAGUAACUGUGCACAUCUUGACGGUACCUAAUCAGAAAGCCACGGCUAACUACGUG